RNAcentral lists this ribosomal RNA (496 nucleotides) under uncultured bacterium. RNAcentral describes it as "bacterial SSU rRNA". It matches the Rfam family "Bacterial small subunit ribosomal RNA", at positions 8 to 518 of the family's 1533-position model. The record is from RNAcentral.
AGAGUUUGAUCAUGGCUCAGGACGAACGCUGGCGGCAUGCCUAACACAUGCAAGUCGAACGGAGUAAUGACUUCGGUUAUUACUUAGUGGCGAACGGGUGAGUAACACGUGAAUAAUCUGCCCUGUACGAUGGGAUAACAGCUGGAAACGGCUGCUAAUACCGUAUAUGACCACGCCGAGGCAUCUCGGAGGGGUGAAAGCGCUUAAGCGGUACAGGAUGAGUUCGCGUCCAAUUAGCUAGUUGGUGAGGUAACGGCCCACCAAGGCGACGAUUGGUAGCCGACCUGAGAGGGUGAUCGGCCACACUGGAACUGAGACACGGUCCAGACUCCUACGGGAGGCAGCAGUGGGGAAUAUUGGGCAAUGGAGGAAACUCUUACCCAAGCAAUGCCGCGUGAGUGAUGAAGGUCUUCGGAUUGUAAAGCUCUUUGAUUGGGGACGAAUAAAUGACGGUACCCAAGGAACAAGCCCCGGCUAACUAUGUGCCAGCCGCCGC